This 282-nucleotide unclassified non-coding RNA is filed under the name uncultured Inocybaceae. RNAcentral describes it as "sequence contains ITS2". The record is from RNAcentral. Lineage: Eukaryota; Fungi; Basidiomycota; Agaricomycetes; Agaricales.
AACGCAUCUUGCGCUCCUUGGUAUUCUGAGGAGCAUGCCUGUUUGAGUGUCAUUAAAGUUCUCAACCACAUCUCUGUUGAUGUGGCUUGGAUAGUGGGGGCUUAUAUUUGCAGUCUUUUGAAAAGAAGUCUGCUCCCCUGAAAUGAAUUAGUGGUAUCUAAGCAGAAACUACUAUAGGUGUGAUAAACUAUCUAUGCCUUGGUAAUACUGUAUAAACUGCUUCUAACAACAAAAGUUGACCAAUUUGACCUCAAAUCAGGUAGGACUACCCGCUGAACUUAA